AUGCUGACAUAAGUAACGAUAAAGCGGGUGAAAAGCCCGCUCGCCGGAAGACCAAGGGUUCCUGUCCAACGUUAAUCGGGGCAGGGUGAGUCGACCCCUAAGGCGAGGCCGAAAGGCGUAGUCGAUGGGAAACAGGUUAAUAUUCCUGUACUUGGUGUUACUGCGAAGGGGGGACGGAGAAGGCUAUGUUGGCCGGGCGACGGUUGUCCCGGUUUAAGCGUGUAGGCUGGUUUUCCAGGCAAAUCCGGAAAAUCAAGGCUGAGGCGUGAUGACGAGGCACUACGGUGCUGAAGCAACAAAUGCCCUGCUUCCAGGAAAAGCCUCUAAGCAUCAGGUAACAUCAAAUCGUACCCCAAACCGACACAGGUGGUCAGGUAGAGAAUACCAAGGCGCUUGAGAGAACUCGGGUGAAGGAACUAGGCAAAAUGGUGCCGUAACUUCGGGAGAAGG
This 450-nucleotide ribosomal RNA is filed under the name Escherichia coli. Its description in RNAcentral is "partial 23S ribosomal RNA". It matches the Rfam family "Bacterial large subunit ribosomal RNA", at positions 1294 to 1746 of the family's 2925-position model. Lineage: Bacteria; Pseudomonadati; Pseudomonadota; Gammaproteobacteria; Enterobacterales; Enterobacteriaceae. The record is from RNAcentral.